AGUCGUAACAAGGUAUCCGUAGGUGAACCUGCGGAUGGAUCAUUAUAGGGUGUUGGGUAAUUGUGAGUGGUUUUAUUAAUAGUUUGAGCGGUGUUGGUUGGGAUGCGAAGCAGGAUUGCCGAGCAGGAUUGCCGAGCAGGAUUGCCAAGCAGGAUUGCCAAGCAAGACAGCCAACAUUGCCUCACGUUAAACUCUAUAAAUCUAACAAUUACAUACAAAAAAAAACAACUUUUAGCAACGGAUCUCUUGGCUCUC
This 255-nucleotide unclassified non-coding RNA is filed under the name fungal sp. RNAcentral describes it as "partial internal transcribed spacer region". The stretch from base 1 to 45 matches the Rfam family "Eukaryotic small subunit ribosomal RNA", at positions 1787 to 1831 of the family's 1831-position model. Lineage: Eukaryota; Fungi. The record is from RNAcentral.